AUGGUGUUGUUUGGGCUUUUGGGCUUUUGUGAAUUAAGUUGUCAUACAACAUAAGUCAAUGGGCUUGACGUUCGAAGCCCAUUAGGCCUAAACGUCCAAAACUAUCCCGAGGUCUUUAACGAACUUAUUCGUUUGAUUAAUUAACAUAUUAAUUAAUUCUUGCCAUAAAUAAUUAAACCAUUUAAUUAUUCUUACUCAUCUCCAUUGUUUCUUCAAUCUCCACCUUACACGGU
RNAcentral lists this long non-coding RNA (233 nucleotides) under Malus domestica (apple). RNAcentral describes it as "long non-coding RNA (MDOM_LNC020187)". The record is from RNAcentral. Lineage: Eukaryota; Viridiplantae; Streptophyta; Magnoliopsida; Rosales; Rosaceae.